Molecule: ribosomal RNA, 433 nt
Filed under: uncultured bacterium
Lineage: Bacteria
Description: partial 16S ribosomal RNA
Rfam family: Bacterial small subunit ribosomal RNA
Source: RNAcentral
AACGAACGCUGGCGGCAUGCCUAACACAUGCAAGUCGAACGAGACCUUCGGGUCUAGUGGCGCACGGGUGUGUAACGCGUGGGAACCUGCCCUUAGGUUCGGAAUAACUCCCCGAAAGGGGUGCUAAUACCGGAUAAUGUCUUCGGACCAAAGAUUUAUCGCCUUUGGAUGGGCCCGCGUUGGAUUAGCUAGUUGGUAGGGUAAAAGCCUACCAAGGCGACGAUCCAUAGCUGGUCUGAGAGGAUGAUCAGCCACACUGGGACUGAGACACGGCCCAGACUCCUACGGGAGGCAGCAGUGGGGAAUAUUGGACAAUGGGCGAAAGCCUGAUCCAGCAAUGCCGCGUGAGUGAUGAAGGCCUUAGGGUUGUAAAGCUCUUUUACCCGGGAUGAUAAUGACAGUACCGGGAGAAUAAGCUCCGGCUAACUCCAUG